This 229-nucleotide unclassified non-coding RNA is filed under the name plant metagenome. Its description in RNAcentral is "partial contains small subunit ribosomal RNA, internal transcribed spacer 1, and 5.8S ribosomal RNA". The record is from RNAcentral.
UUUCCGUAGGUGAACCUGCGGAGGGAUCAUUACAGAGUUCAUGCCCUACCGGGUAGAUCUCCCACCCUAUGUUAUUAUUACUUUGUUGCUUUGGCGGGCCGUUAGGCUCCGGCCCGACUACCGGCCCCGGCUGGUAAGCGCCCGCAAGAGGACCCAAAACCCUGAAUAUUAGUGUUGUCUGAGUACUAUAUAAUAGUUAAAACUUUCAACAACGGAUCUCUUGGUUCUG